GGGGAUGACAGGUCUCGACAGGGAGGGCUGGCCCGCGAUUGCAAGCCGAGGCGCCUCACCCUCGUUAAUCAGGGGCAAAAACACAAGUGCCAACAAAGCACAAACCCCGGCGUACGCUUACGCCAUGGCUGCCUAAGCAGUCAUAGCGUGAACGACGCCCGACCACCUGAGCGUGGUCACGCUCGCCUCGGGUUCUCCCCGGUGGCCUGGGGAUGAGCGUCAGAUGCAGCGGGGUGCGGCCUGCCGACGCCGAUGGGCAGGCCUAAGCCGUGGGCGAUGAGCCUGCGGGCUCGGCUGGCCCCGAAGGGACCCCGUCGGCCGGGGCCCUGCGGGGCGAGACAGCAAAAGGUCGACUAAGCUUGUAGCAUAUCGCCGGUCGAACUUUCUGGACGCGGGUUCGAUUCCCGCCAUCUCCACCU
This 419-nucleotide transfer-messenger RNA is filed under the name Anaerolineae. RNAcentral's name for it is "g SpSt-313 X3 Standard tmRNA". It matches the Rfam family "transfer-messenger RNA". Rfam says of the family: Bacterial tmRNA, also known as 10Sa RNA or SsrA, is named for its dual tRNA and mRNA-like properties. Its role is to liberate the mRNA from a stalled ribosome. To accomplish this part of the tmRNA is used as a reading frame that ends in a translation stop signal. The record is from RNAcentral. RNAcentral also lists the same sequence under 1 other name. Lineage: Bacteria; Bacillati; Chloroflexota.